RNAcentral lists this long non-coding RNA (1467 nucleotides) under Anolis carolinensis (green anole). Its description in RNAcentral is "lncRNA (ENSACAG00000038135.1)". The record is from RNAcentral. Lineage: Eukaryota; Metazoa; Chordata; Lepidosauria; Squamata; Anolidae.
AUGAGCACUGCGGGGGAAUGCUUUGCUGAAAUUCGUAGAUUGAACGAUGAAGCGGACGACAAUUAUAAACAGUCUAUUGCUUUAAAAAUGAGAUUGGAUCAAAUUGUCGGUCAUGAAAUUCCAAAACUUCUCAAAGCAAUUAAAGCAUGUAAAAAUUAUAACCCUCUUACAAACUCAACUCACUAUCAGAUAGGUAGAGGGUUGCACAAGCGGGGUAGAAGAAAGCAAAAGAAGCUCACACCUAGAGAACUGUACUGGAAAAGGAGACGUAGAUUGAUAACAAAGGCGAGAAAAACUCUUGCCAGGUCCAGAAGUAAACAAAAACAUAAAAGCAAUAGAGACUCAAUGAGGUCAGACCCGGCUUCUUCUUCCACUACAGACACCCAGAGGGAUGGACAUUCUCCUGAACCUCAACAGGUAGAAUCCCCAUCUAACGAGGUUGAGUACCGACCUCAACAGGAAGACACCUCUGGUGAGGAGGAUGAUGGGUCACCCCCUGUGUUUGCAGAAUGCGUGCACAGGUGGCAAUUUACUUUUCCUAGUUAUAACACAUUGCGGAUCGGGGAGGUAUACCGUUUCAGAAAUUUAGAAACCGUGAGGUCAUAUGCACAGGUUAUAAAUGCAUUAUACACAGCGAUCCAGGGCAUCUUAGACAAUCUGAACCAGAGAAUUGAUCCCGAAGAUUUUGUUCAGGUGAGAUUAGAAGCCUCAGGGUUACGAAAUCCACUCUUCUCUUUUAAAAGAAGUAGGGAUCUCUUUAAUGCUGAGGAGUUUCUAGUCCAGCUGAGUCGUCUAUUACAGAGCAAUAUGGAAAUCUGCGCUCAUGGUGAUUUUGAGCUCGUGGUCACUAUAACAAAACCGCCACAAGGUGGAGCACGUCGAAAACUGAGUUCCAUUCCAGCCAGUGAAAUAAUUGCUAGGAAGAGACAGUAUCUGAUAGACCUGAAUUAUGCAGGUGGCAAUAUGUGUUUUGCUGGAGCUUUAUUUGGUGUUAUGAGUUUACAUAAACCCACAGAUUCAGAAAUGUUGACAGCUGCUCAAAAACUGCAUAUGGAACUCGGAUGGUCUGAUCAAAAAAAGGUAACCCUUAAUGAUAUUUCUACUGUUGAACAACAUUUAAGAGUCAAUAUCGAUGUUGCUUAUUACUCAAAAAAGUCAGAGUGGGCUCUGUUUAAAACACAGGGCCCCAUUUAUCCUCAAGCCUAUACUCUACUCUUACAUGAUGAGCAUUUCUAUGGGGUUCUGAAUGUAAAAGCGCUAUUUGGCAUCCGAAACUACUGUCAAUUUUGUCGCAAACUCUAUAAUCAUGACCAUCAUUCAUGUCUAUUUUAUUGCAGAAUGUGUUUGAGAAAGGGGUGUGAUAAUGUGAUAGGGAAACAGGUUCGAUGCCCCCGAUGUAAGUUUCAUUGUAGGUCUGAGGCUUGCUUAAAAUUACACCAACAGCUGGGUUUAGAGAAGAAAGUCAAA